UUGGCAUUGCAUAGAAAAUUGGAGAUGUCGGUUAUGGCGGUGGGGGUUGUAGCAGUGGCGUGGUGUUUGUUUUUUGUGAAUGGGCAUGUGUUGGGGGAAGAUGGUUUUCAAGGUUUGAUGGAUUUGGAGGAGAUUCCCUCCCCAAAUCCUCUCAUGGUGGACCUCACUCUCAUUCCAGGAGCUGCUGCUAGAGGAGCUGGUUUGUUUUCAUUUCUUCACGUCUUCUACUCUCUUUGCUUCCUUCUUCCACAUUUAUUAUUACUAUUUUUCUAAUUAUACAUCUUCUUUCAAUGCUAUAGUUUGUUUGGAUGGAACUCUACCUGGUUACCAUUUCCAUCCCGGUUUUGGAUCAGGUGCCAACAGCUGGCUCAUUCAAUUGGAGGUGUGUAAAUGGAUUCCCAAGAUGAAUCAAUUUUCUUUCUUUUCCACUGCAUUGGAUCCAAGCUUUUGGAUUUAAGCUGGGCAGGACAUUCUCACAAUCCUGAAAAUUCUAUAUGGAAAAAAAAAAAAAAAGAUCUGAGCUUUUGGAGCUGAAGUCUGUGAUUUCACUGAAUUGGGUUUCUUGAUUGCAGGGUGGGGGUUGGUGUAACAACAUAAAAUCUUGUGUUUUUCGCAAAACAACUCGCCGGGGUUCAUCCAAAUACAUGGAAAAGACAUUAGCCUUCACGGGAAUACUAAGCAAUAAAGCUGAAGAAAAUCCUGGUCCUGACUCCAAUUAUUGAUUCCCAUUUCAGCAGUGGCUCUGCUUGUUGCUUUUACUCUAUAUUCUCUUAAGAUUUUAUUCAUGGUCCUUUUCUCCUUUAUGCUGCAGAUUUUUUCAACUGGAACAGAGUCAAACUUAGGUACUGUGAUGGCGCAUCUUUUAGUGGGGAAGGUCAAAAUAAGGUUGGCGAGAGCAUCUACCCAUUAUAAAUUUUUCCCUAAAACAAUUAUAUUUUUCAUGGCAUGUAAGACUAGUCAGUCUGAAAUCUACCAUGGAGGAGCUGUGAUUAGGACAUCAGCCUGCUAAAUAUAUAAAUCCUCUAACUGUAAAUUUUCUUAUUAUUAGAAAAAUUGUAAUGAGCAGAUGAUAGCCUAAUAAUUCAUUACUUUCCACUGGACUUUCUGUAAUUGGAUUCUAUGAUUAUUGGUAGCCUAUCAUCUGCUCAAGCAUAGGGCUUACUAAGAUACCAUUGCUUAAAAAACUUCACGUUCAUAUUUUCUAGAAAAUCAUUUCCUGUUCUUGUCUGCAACCUCUAGAAGUUCGAAAAAAAAAAAACCUUGCCUUUUCAUAAUCAGGGAAGUUGAUUUUUCUUAGUGAUAAGCAAUUGUAUCAGAAGGGAAAGUGAUGUGUUGGGUUCUUUGGGGCUUUUUGUUCAUUGUUAGUAUUAACCAAUUGUAGCUGAUGUUUGCUGAUUCUGUUCUCAGGCCACUGGACUUUAUUUUCGAGGACAACGGAUCUUUGAAGCUGGUAUGGAGGAGCUAAUGUCGAAGGGGAUGAAGAAUGCUGAUCAGGUUUUGCAUUUGGCAUAUUCUCUAAGCUCAUCUUUUCAAUUUGAAUUUCUUGUUAUUCUAUUAAGACAAACAAAUGUGGUUCAGGCUCUUCUUUCUGGAUGCUCUGCUGGGGGACUGGCGUCUAUACUACAUUGCGAUGAGUUUGGCGAUUUAUUUCCUAAAACUACAAAAGUGAAAUGCCUGAGUGAUGCAGGGUUCUUCCUUGAUGCGUAAUUUUCCAUCCUUAAUUAUUGUUCAUAUAAAUUCGAUUAGUGCAUAGCAACUUCAUUGGCUUGAAAAUAUUAUUCUCAUUAUGGGUUUUGUUUGGAUUUUAGAACCGAUGCAGCUGGUGGGCACACCAUGAGGAAUUUGUAUGCUGGUGUAGUUAGCUUACAGGUAACACCCAUCAACUUCUUUUUAGCCUCAAGACUUUAAAAUCUUUGGCUUUUAUUUAGUAGAAUGUUUCUAAAUCUUUUGUUCCUUCUUGGAUAUGUGUUUUCCGACUCUUGAUUAUAAUUUGUAAGGUUUAGUUUGUAUAACCGUCUGGACACUGAAGCCUUGAUUGAUUACCCAACCAUACCAUCACUCUGUUGUUGUUGAUUAUGGUAGUUUUGAUUUUGGAACUUGUAUGAAAUUUUAGGGAGUAGAGAAGAACCUGCCAAGCACUUGUACCACCCGUUUAGAUCCAACUUCGGUAACAUUCUGCCUUCUCUUGAUUUUAUUUAAUCCCAUGAAUCGGAUUUUGUACGAGAAAUGAUGUUAAACAAUGAGAUUUGCUUACUCUUUCCCAGUGCUUCUUCCCUGAGAACUUGAUCGACAACAUUAAGACUCCACUCUUUCUUCUCAAUGCAGCCUAUGAUGCAUGGCAGGUAACUUCUAUUCCCAACAAUGUGAAAUAUUUUCACUCUUUUAGGAUAAUCCAUUGAAUGAUGAGUUCAAUUUGCAUUUUCUUUUUUUUCGGUUUUCGAUCCCUCAGUUUCAGGAAAGUUUAGUUCCAUCAAGUGCUGAUCCCCAUGGUGAAUGGAAGGGAUGCAAAUUAAAUCAUGUCAAUUGUAAUUCAACACAGAUCCAGUUUCUCCAAGGUAAUUUCCUCAUUUUCUUUCCAUCUUUCCAUGCCCCUGGCAUACAAUGUGAGAAUACAUAAUGAUCUUCUGUUUUUCCUGCUCUAUGAAACAGAUUUCAGGAUGGAAAUGCUUGAUGAUGUCAAAGGUUUUGCAAGGGAUGAUCAAAAUGGGCUCUUCAUAAAUUCGUGCUUUGCUCACUGCCAGACUGAGUUACAGGAUACAUGGUUUGCUGAUGACUCUCCUUUUCUUGGAAAAAGGGUAUGCCAUAGAUUUGAUCCAUUCAUUUUGACAUUCUCCUUCCAUGAUUUAGAGCAGAAUUAGUAUAAGUUUCAUGGCUUUCAGCCAUCUCAUUUCCCUGUAUGGUUAAAGACUCGGCACAAUAGAAGGCAUGGAAAUUGAACUCUAAAUUAAUUAAAUUUUCAAUAUUGCAGAAGAUUGCAGAGUCUGUUGGAGACUGGUAUUUCGAUCGAAGACCCGUCAAAGCCAUCGACUGUCCAUACCCCUGUGACAACACCUGCCACAACCUGGUCUUCAAGUGAGCACAACCUGCCCACCAGCUCCUCCUAUGGCUUCUCCUUCUCCCUUCUCCCUUCUCCCUACUGCCAUUUCAACGAAUUGUAACAUUUCUUAAGAUGAUAAAGCAAUCGUUUUAGCAAAUGGAGAAAUAGAUGCUACAGGACUUGCCCCAUGUAAUUCCCAGAGGCUUAAAGUCAUGGAAAUGAAAAUUUUCUUUCCAAACACAACUGUUUAAGUAGCUAAGCACAGAAAUGAAAGACAAGUUUGGGGUUUUAUAAUGGCUGUAAGGUGGGGCGGAGUCUUCAAGAGUGGGGGGACACCGGCUACCACACAAAGAAUCCAAUCAAUGAUGUAUCUGUCGGUCGUUCGUCCUCAUUUCCAAGAUGGCAAAAUCCAAACUGACCAAUAAAAAUGAAAAAGAGUGGGGUUUGCUGUCCAAACAGCCUUCAUUCCCAUAGAACCUCCUGCAAGUCCACAGCCUGAAACUACUUUUGUGGAGUUGUUCAUACACCGCAGCCUUCGACUCAGUCAAAAAAGCACAUUUGGAGACAAAAAAAAAAAAAAAAAAUUAAAUCAUUUUGAUUUGAAAGUAUAUGGAAAUUUUAAGUUAUUAUUAAAAGAUGUAUUUUUAAUUUUAAAAUUUUAUUUUAUCAUAGAAACAUACUUUUUUUCGUUGUUCAUAUCAUGCCUAUCAAUCAUCAUUUACUACUGGAUUGCCACCACCUUUCAUCCCCUACCUCCUUCACCCAUCAUCAUCAUCAUAUAUCAUAUCUAUUAUGAGGUGUUUUACAUCUUUUUAUUUUGAAAAAUACCCUUAUUAAUGCUAAUAAUCAACUUAAAUGGAAAUUUAAUUUUUUCACCCUUUAAUUUCUAUAUCAUCAAUCCUUUUAUUAAGGUUUAAUUUAGGGUUUUAAUUACUUAACGUAACAAAAAUUUGUAAUAUUCAUAACUUGAUUUUGAUUUAAUAUUCGGAUUGAAAUUGCCAUCACAAACUUAUAAAAAUAAUUGGACAUGCUCAAUCUUUGAAUUGCUCUCAACCUAAAAAAUAAUUGAAAAUUUAAUCUUUUUAUUUGUCUCCGAUUUCUAUCAAUUAUUUCAACGGGGAUUUAAUUACUUAUCGUAACUUAACAUAAUAGAAAUAUGUAUGUUCAUAAUUCAAUCUUGAAACUAUCUCAAGAAAUUUCGAGGGAAGACAUUAAUGUUUGUUGGAAACCUCUUAAACUAGGCAUUCAGUUUAUUUUGUACCCUUGGCUUAAUGAGAAAAUGGAUUGAAUUCUAUAGGAUCAAACCUAUGGAAAGUUAGGAAUGAUGGAAGGGAAUAAAAUAAAAAAUAAAAAAAAUAAAAAAAUAAAAAUGAAGUCGAAGAACCCAUAUUCCAAAUGAGUAAAGUCAAGACAUCCAACUUCUACAUGUUGAUUUGGACUUGGCGACAACUCCUAUGAGUCUGUUUUUCCAUCUGAAUUGACAGGCUAGAAUGGUCUCAAACAUUGUCAGAAGUCAAUGAGGAAGACUACAGAUCUUAAACAUUGGAGGUGGAUGAGGCCUCACUGUAGAUGGUAACAUUAUCGGUUGAAUUGGAUGAUGGCCUAACAUCCGAACUUGCAGAUUCAACUGACUUAAUUGCCUUCCUAUCACAUAAGCAGUGACGUUAUGCCAGCAGUCCAACGUCCCCUUCGAACCCCUUUGAGAACAUGGCAUAUGCCUGCUUAAAAACCUUGUCUUUACAUUAGUUUUUAGGUAACUCAUCCUCCAUCCUAUUUAACUAAGUGUUGCCCAUGAUCCACCGAUCUGAUAUUUAUUAGUCUCAACCAUAGAGUCCAAUCUAAAUAUUAUAUGUAUGGAAGAGAAAAGUCUGGUUUUGAUAGAAGAUUAUUGCAGAGUAUUUUUUGAAUUUCAGAUUCAGAACAAAGAUGAAAAACUAUUAAGGUCUAUUUGGAACUCUUCUACAAAUUAGGGUUUUUUUUUUUUUUUUGUCUUUCUUAAUAACAAAUUUAAAGUAUUUUAAAUUAUAUUUGAAUGUUUUUUUGAGAAAAUAAAUAAAAUAUAUUUAAUAUUUAUAUAUAUUUUUUUACAAGAAAAUGUAUGGAAAUACACCAUUAAUUUCACAAAUAUAAUUUUUUUAAAUAAUUUUUAACAAAAUAAUAUAAGUCAAUAAUUUUUCUAUUAAGAAUUUUUUAUUUCAAUAUUAUUAUUUUUAUUUUAUUUUUUUAAAAGAAAAUAUAUGAAAAUGAACCAUUAAUUUUAUUUAUUUUUAUUUACUCAGUAACUUUGCUUAGUUGCCCCAUCAUAAUUUACGGAACACCCUUUAUAUUUUAAGUUUCCUAUUAAUUGUAGUCCAUUUUUUUACUUCAUUUUAUUUUCAUUACUUUUUCCUUUCUCUUUUCAUUAUUUAACUAAUAUCAAUUCUUUAAUUUUUAUGAAACCUUCAAUUUUAGUUCAUUAAUAAAUAUUAAUUUUGAUUUAUUGAAUAAAAAUGAAGAAAAAAAAUGCAAAUAAUCAAUUAAUGUUAUAUUAAUAAUUAAAAUGUAAUAUUGAUGUCUCUUACAUACACGAUGUCUUGUCUUUCUAAAUCUUCAUCUCUUAGAUAUAAUCCAAGGUUCAAUAAUCAUAUUCUUCUCUUAAGUGCAGACCAAAACAAUAAAGACAGUAAAGAUGAGACAUGUAAUUCAAUAAGAAAAUUGAAGGAAAGACAAAAAAAAAUGGAAUUUUAUGUCUUUCAUUCUCAAUUAUAGUAACCUAAUACAUCUUGAGUGUACUAUUAAGAGUCACUUGCCUAAUUUCAUUUCAUACGGAGAUUCAAUUUAAACUUUCCAUAUCAAAAUUUCAAUGUUUUCAAAAGGAGAAAAAGUAAAUGCCUUAUUAAAUAUGAGAUUCCCCUCUCCCCUUUUUAAUAGGCACAAAUUAAGUGGUCUUAUUUCAUACUUAUAACAUAUUGAGUUCAAAUUUUGAUUUAUAUUAAUAUUUAUAUGUCAUUUUAUCAAUGUAUAAUUUUUUGGUCAUUCUUAUAAAAUGGGAAAUCCAUUUUUUUUUUCUUAUGAUAAUUAUUAUUGUUAUCCAUUGGAUCCUUAGGGCAUUGAACUAGAGAUGUUUGCAACGCUUUUGACAAUCUUAUUUUCUUUUCUUGUGUAAUCAUAUUUCCUAAAUAAAUUUUUUCAUCUAAUAUAUUGAUUAAUUUCAUAUUUUAAGUAUAUAUUGAGAGGUUAUAACAAGAUUUUAAAAAGCCCUUUUAACUAUUUGUAUCUUAUUAUUUACAGAUAAUGCUCAAAUUACGUGGUAUGAGCUGUUUUUCAUUUUUUUAUUUCCAAAAAUACCCUUAUCAAUACUAAUAAUCAACUUAAAUGAUAAUUUAAUAUUUUCAUUUAGUUAGGAUUUUAAUUACUUGAUAUAACAGAAACCAUUCCUAAAGUUAUUAUCAUAAACUUAAAAGGUAAUUCAAAAUUUAGUUUUUUCAAUAAUAAUAAUUAGCUUAAAUGGGAAUUUAAUUUUUUUUAUUUAGUUAGGGUUUUAAUUAUUGGACGAAAACCAUUCCUCAAAUUAUCAUCACAAACCUAAAAGGUAAUUUAAAAUUUAAUUUUUUUCAUACUCAUAAUCAACUUUAAUGAGAAUUUAAUCUUUUCAUUUUGUUAGGGCUUUAAUUACUUAACAUAACCAAAAUCAUUCUUAAAAUUGUCAUCACAAACCUAAAAGGUAAUUGAAAAUUUAACUUUUUUCAUUUACCUCCAAUUUCUAUUUCAUUAGCGGUUUCAAUAUGAAUUUAAUUUAAUGUUUUAAUUAUUUGACUUAACGGAAAUUGUAUAUUCAUAACUUGAUUUUGAUUUUAUAUUCAAAUUCAAUACUUUAUUUUAAUUUUAUAUAUUUUAUAUUCAAAUUCCAUCCUAAAAUUGCUCUCAAGAAACUAUAAGGGGGUGUUUGGUACGUCGGAUAGGGAAUGAAAAUAAUAUUUUGUUUCCUUUCCUAUUUCUUAGUGGAAUGGAAUGAAUUUGAUGAUUCCAUUUCUAGCAUUUGAAUGAACUUAAGAAUGCAAGAUUGGAAUGAUUAUUUGUUUCCAUUCCAAUGUUUGAUAAUAAUAGGAAUGGAAAUGAAAAAGAAAUAAAUUUACAAUAAUAUCCUUACAUAUAAUUUAAAAUAUUUUUUUAUUUUUACUUUUAUUUUAAAAAAAUAAAAUUUGAGAGGUUUUUUGUUAUUAAAUAAUAAGACUAAAAAAUAUAUAUAUAUACUCAAUAAAUAAAAAAUUAACCAUAAAAAAUCGUAUAACCCUAAUGCACAAAUAUUCAAUUAUUAUUUUUAUUAAAAAUUUGAAUAAUUUGUCAUGCUUAAGUAGUUAUAAAAUUAUAUUUUUCAAAAAAAAAUUAUUUAUUAUAAUAUUUAAAUUCUCAAAGCUAGCAAAUGUUUUUCCUAUUUUCAAAAGAGGAAAUAAAAGAAUUCUAAUUUAUUCUAAUUUUCAACAAGUAUCAUAUCCGAUAAAAUCCAUAACCUUAAAAAAAAUUUUAAAUAUUCGUUUUUUUUUAUCAAAAUUUUAAAUAAUUUUUCAUGCAAAAAAAGCUAUAGAAUCCAUAAAUGAAGAGAUCUUCACUAUGGCCCAUGCUAAAGUUCCAAAAUGAGCCGGAAACGCAGCAGAUUUUCUGUGAGACGGAAGAAUCCAUAGCUUUAACUAGGAAAGGAAGACGCUGAUAAUAAUAAACAAAGGGGAAAAAAAAACCAAAAGUUUUGUUUUUGUUUUUUUUUUCUUUUUAUUUUUUUCCUAACCAUUAAAAAUUUUCAAUAUUGUGAACACCGUGAAAUCGAAAAAUCUUUUUCCAACCAUUUCAAUUUUUCUUUCUAGUUUCCAUUAAUACAAGAUAAAGAAACAUCAAAGAUUCCAAACAUAAAUUAAUAAAAAAAAAAUUAAUCGAUUUAUAGAGAAGAAGAAACACAUAUAAAGAAGUAGAAGAAGAAAGAGAAAAUAAGGUAAACCUGAUCGAAGAUGUAGAAGGGAGUUUUCAGAACCCAGUUGCAACAAACAAUGACGAAUCUUAUAUCCAACAAUCAAAAUGAACAUCCAAAACCCUAUAAAUUAGAAAUUGAUUUUUUUUUUUUUAAAUAUCGUGGAAGGUUUAAUUGAUUCAAUUUGGAAGAAUCACUUGUUGCAGAGAAUUGGAUGAUGAGUGGGUCUCUAGCUUUGCAAAGAAGAUAAGAAGUUGAUGAUGAAUAGAUCUCUACCUUUACAAAGAAGAUAAACAUCAGGUUUGAAGAACAAGAUAAGAGGGUAAAAUAGUAAUUUAGGUUAUUUUAUAUUAUCAAAUAAGUUUAAUGAAUCAGAAUACUACCUACUUUUAAUGAAUGCAAAUCCGACUCAUAAGUUGGAUUUGAUUUCUGUCGGAAUAAUUUUUUAUUUCAUUUCCGCCUUCUUAACAUCUAUCCAAACAUAGGAAUAAGGGAGAAAAGGAAUGAGAUGUCUAUUCCCACUCCCUAUUCCUGUGUACCAAACACCCCCUAAAGGAAAAUGUUGAUGUUUGUGGAAACCUCUCAAACUGGAUAUUCAUCUUCGGCACAAUAGUCUUACGUCCCAUCUAGCACAACAUGUGAUUUUUAUCAGUCUCAACCAUAGAUUCUACUUUAUUUAUAAUAUGUAUGAAGAAAAGUCUGGUUAUGAUAGGAUAUCAUCACAGAUUGUUUUUUCGAUUUGGCAUUUGAAAUUAAGAUGAAGGACAAUUACGGUUUGUAAGGAACUCUUUCACAAAUUAGGUUUUUAUUUUUGUUUAUUUAUUUAUUUUUUAAUAAUAAAUUUGAAGUAUUUUAAAUCAUAUUUGAAUGUGUUUUGAAAAAAUAAAUAAAAUAUAUUUAUUAUUAUUAUUAUUAUUAUUAUUAUUAUUAUCCUAACCUAUCUUUCAUUUCUUCAAUGAAAUAAAUUAAUUUUUUUUUAUAAAAAAAUUACAUGAAAUAUUUUACUCGUAAUAGUGAUUUUCAUUUAUUUUGAGAUAUUCAAAUCCUUUAUACUUUUAUAUUUAAUUAAAUAAUAGUGAACUAAUAAUAACACUUAUUAUAUUAUAGAUAGUUAUUGAAUAAAAAAAUUUAUUGCUCAUUUAUAUUAUUUAUUUUAAAAAAUUUAAAUUUUAUUAAGAAAAUUAUAACAUUGUCUUAAAAAUAUUAAGAUUUUGAUAUAAAAUUUACCAAAAUGAAGAAAAAAUUUCUAUUGAGAUUUUAAUUCUUUUAAUUUUUUUUAAAAUAUUUUUAGAACAAAAGAUAUUUUUCUUUUAUAUUUUUUCGGUGUGAUUGAAUAAUUUGAUAUAUUAUAUAUUUUUCUUUUAUAUGGAAUUAUUUUAAUUAAUUUGGAUGGUAUUUUCUAUCUUUAGAAACAAAAAUAAUAAUAAGUUUUACAAAAUAUAUAAUAGUUUUUAAAAGCUAAUUAAAAACAUAAUUUUUAACAACAUAAUAUAAGUCAAUAAAGGAAACCGAUCAUUAAUUUUUUUUUAUUUACUUGUAACGUUAUUUAGUUACCUAUCAUAAUUUGCGGAACACCUUUUAUUUCAUAGGUUUCCUAAUUCAAUUUUUUUUUACUUCAUUUUAUUUUCAUUACUUUUUUCUUUCUUUUUCCAUUAUUUUGCAGCCAAGACAUUUUUUUUUUUUUUAACAAUUAACUUAGAGAAAUCCUAUAUUUCAUAUGAUCAGUCAAGUUUAAAAUUGAUACUUAAUAAUGAAUUAAAUCAGAUCUAUAUGAAUAUGUUUUAUUCCAUAUAUUCAAGUAUAUCUAUGUAUAGCCACAUGGAUAGUUCAAUGUGCUCAUGAGGGUUUGACCUUGAGAUAUGGGUCAUCCAAGGCACAUUAACAUGGUGUACUCCUCCCAUUCAAAUCAAGGUUUGAAACCAAACCUUUCAGAAUGAUAAAUGGGGUAAUUCAAGUGAGACCCAAUGUAGAUCCAACUUUCUAUGGUUAAAUUCUUUAGAACUUGUCCAAGGCACAUUAACAUGGUGUACCCCUCCCAUUCAAAUCAGGGUUUGAAACCAAACCUUUCAGGAGGAUGGAUGAGGUAAUUCAAGUGAGAUCCAAUGUAGAUCCAACUUUUUGUGGUUAAAAUCUUUAGAAUUUAUCAAUGGGUAGAACCUUUUUGGUAUGAACAGUUUAUAAGUCUAAGCAUAGAUGUUCUUAUUUGGACAUCUUGUUUGGGCUACUGGGUUUAUAUUUUUAAUUUCAUGGUAUGGAUAUUAGCAAGAAUUUUUCUUGCAGCUCGUCUUUUUUCUUUUUUCAUAGUCAUACCUUACAUAAUGAAUCUAAUAUAUUUGAUAGGUAUGAUAAACAAUAUUAUUAGGAGCUACUUUAACUAUUGCUCAAAAAGAUAUUAAGAGAAGUUUGACCUAUUCCACAAUGUCUCAAUUGGGUUAUACAUGUUAGCCCUUGGUGUAUAUAUAUAUGAACACGUUGUUUAGAAGAAUUGAUUUUUGUUUUGAUUUUUGUUUUGUUUUUAGUAAUUUUAUGAGAGGAUUUUAUUCUUUUUGUUCUCAAUUUAAGAUUAUGAGUCUCAAAUGAGUUAUAGGUUUUUAAAUCAUAAAUAAAGGUUAUUGAAUGAAGUUUUUAAAACUUCAACACCCAAUUUAUUCAUUGAAAUUGAAAAAUUGAUAUCCAAAAAAAGCAUUCAAAGUCUUUAGAGACGGAUGGUAAGAAGGAAGACCAUGAAUACUAACAUGUUAAAUGAAGUUAUCAUCCAUAAAAUAGAACAAAAUUGUCGAAUGCUUCUUCUUCAAAUUUCAACAGAAUAGAAAUAUGCAUGAAACCUUUUGUCUUGACCAUCUUCAAGAUUGAAGAUAACCCACCCACUAUAUUGGGGAUAUUGUUUUUUUAAUAUCACACCAUACAACCUUAUAUUAAUUUAUUAUUGUUGUAUAUUCUCUAAAUGACUUAUUAAUGUUUUGUUUUUUUUAUAUGCCUAAUUUUAGGAUAGGUUUGACCAAUGGAGUAUUUUCGAUUUGAACCAUCAUCCAAUAUGAAGCAGGAAAGAAAUUUAAUUACUUGGCUCGUAAGGUUUAAAUUUUUUUUUCCUAUAUUUAUAUAUUCUUUUCCUUGUAAUAAUAAUAAUAAUUAUUAUUAACUUUAUAUAUUCAAUUUACUAAUAUAUCCAAAGACCAAAAAUUUGGGGCUAGAAAAGGAAAAGAAAGAAAUAACAACCAAUUAAAAAUGGAAGUGAGGCCUUGGCAUUUCAUAGAAAAAUGAAGAUGUCGGUUAUGGCGGUGGGGGUGGUAACAGUGGCGUGGUGUUUGUUUUUUAUGGAUAGGUAUGUCUUGGGGGAAGAUGAUUUUCAAGGUUUGUUGGAUUUGGAGGAGACUCCCUCCCCAAAUCCUCUCAUGGUGGACCUCACUCUCAUUCCAGGAGCUGCUGCUAAAGGAGCUGGUUUGUUUUCAUUUCUUCACGUCUUCUACUCUCUUUGCUUCCUU
This 11458-nucleotide long non-coding RNA is filed under the name Vitis vinifera (wine grape). RNAcentral's name for it is "long non-coding RNA (VVIN_LNC002077)". The record is from RNAcentral. Lineage: Eukaryota; Viridiplantae; Streptophyta; Magnoliopsida; Vitales; Vitaceae.